GUGGGGAAUCUUGCGCAAUGGGCGAAAGCCUGACGCAGCCAUGCCGCGUGAAUGAUGAAGGUCUUAGGAUUGUAAAAUUCUUUCACCGGGGACGAUAAUGACGGUACCCGGAGAAGAAGCCCCGGCUAACUUCGUGCCAGCAGCCGCGGUAAUACGAAGGGGGCUAGCGUUGCUCGGAAUUACUGGGCGUAAAGGGCGCGUAGGCGGACAGUUUAGUCAGAGGUGAAAGCCCAGGGCUCAACCUUGGAAUUGCCUUUGAUACUGGCUGGCUUGAGUACGGGAGAGGUGAGUGGAACUCCGAGUGUAGAGGUGAAAUUCGUAGAUAUUCGGAAGAACACCAGUGGCGAAGGCGACUCACUGGCCCGUUACUGACGCUGAGGCGCGAAAGCGUGGGGAGCAAACAGGAUUAGAAACCCUGGUAGUCC
Molecule: ribosomal RNA, 425 nt
Filed under: uncultured bacterium
Lineage: Bacteria
Description: partial 16S ribosomal RNA
Rfam family: Bacterial small subunit ribosomal RNA
Source: RNAcentral